GAUGGGAGCUUGCUCCCUGAUGUUAGCGGCGGACGGGUGAGUAACACGUGGGUAACCUGCCUGUAAGACUGGGAUAACUCCGGGAAACCGGGGCUAAUACCGGAUGGUUGUCUGAACCGCAUGGUUCAGACAUAAAAGGUGGCUUCGGCUACCACUUACAGAUGGACCCGCGGCGCAUUAGCUAGUUGGUGAGGUAACGGCUCACCAAGGCGACGAUGCGUAGCCGACCUGAGAGGGUGAUCGGCCACACUGGGACUGAGACACGGCCCAGACUCCUACGGGAGGCAGCAGUAGGGAAUCUUCCGCAAUGGACGAAAGUCUGACGGAGCAACGCCGCGUGAGUGAUGAAGGUUUUCGGAUCGUAAAGCUCUGUUGUUAGGGAAGAACAAGUGCCGUU
RNAcentral lists this ribosomal RNA (397 nucleotides) under Bacillus subtilis. RNAcentral describes it as "bacterial SSU rRNA". It matches the Rfam family "Bacterial small subunit ribosomal RNA", at positions 71 to 460 of the family's 1533-position model. Lineage: Bacteria; Bacillati; Bacillota; Bacilli; Caryophanales; Bacillaceae. The record is from RNAcentral.